RNAcentral lists this ribosomal RNA (430 nucleotides) under uncultured bacterium. Its description in RNAcentral is "bacterial SSU rRNA". It matches the Rfam family "Bacterial small subunit ribosomal RNA", at positions 355 to 776 of the family's 1533-position model. The record is from RNAcentral.
UGGGGAAUAUUGGACAAUGGGGGCAACCCUGAUCCAGCUACGCCGCGUGAGUGAUGAAGGUUUUCGGAUCGUAAAACUCUGUCUUGUGGGAAGAAUCUCUCAGGUUCGAAUAGGUCCUGAGAUUGACGGUACCACAGGAGGAAGCACCGGCUAACUCCGUGCCAGCAGCCGCGGUAAAACGGAGGGUGCGAGCGUUGCUCGGAAUUACUGGGCGUAAAGCGCGUGCAGGCGGUUCGCUAUGUCUCGUGUGAAAUCCCUGGGCUCAACCCAGGAACUGCACGGGAAACUGGCGGACUAGAGUAUGACAGGAGAGGGCGGAAUUCCCGGUGUAGAGGUGAAAUUCGUAGAUAUCGGGAGGAACACCAGCAGCGAAGGCGGCUCUCUAGGUCAAUACUGACGCUCAGACGCGAAAGCAUGGGGAGCAAACAGG